GACGAACGCUGGCGGCGUGCUUAACACAUGCAAGUCGAACGGAAAGGCCCUGCUUUUGUGGGGUUCUCGAGUGGCGCAAGGGUGAAUAACACGUGAGUCACCUGCCCUUGACUUUGGGAUCACUUCAGGAAACUGGGGCUACUACCGGUUAGGCGCUCCUGCUGCAUGGUGGGGGUUGGAUGGUUUCGGAGGUUGGGGAUGGACUCGCGGCUUAUCAGCCUGUUGGUGGGGUUGUGGCUUACGAAGGCUUCGACGGGUGGCCGGCCUGGGAGGGUGACCGGCCACAUUGGGACGAAGAUACCGCCCAGACGCCUACGGGAGGCAUCAGUGGUGAAUAGUGCACAAUGGGCGGAAGCCUGAUGCAGCAACGCCGCGUGCGGGAUGACGGCCUUCGGGUUGUAGACCGCUUGCGCCUGUGACGAAGCGGGAGUGACGGUAAUGGGUAAAGAAGCACCGGCUAACUACGUG
Molecule: ribosomal RNA, 468 nt
Filed under: uncultured bacterium
Lineage: Bacteria
Description: partial 16S ribosomal RNA
Rfam family: Bacterial small subunit ribosomal RNA
Source: RNAcentral